CCCUUAGAUGCCCUGGGCCGCACGCGCGCUACACUGAGUGUCUGAGAUACGAGUCUGCCUGGUCCGGCAAGGUCUAGGUAAUCGCUAAAAGACACAUCAUGCUUGGGAUAGAUUAUUGCAAAUAUUAAUCUUGAACGAGGAAUUCCUAGUAAGCGCAAGUCAACAGCUUGCGUUGAUUACGUCCCUGCCCUUUGUACACACCGCCCGUCGCUACUACUGAUUGGAUGUUUAAGCGAGGUUCUCGAACUGCUAGCGACUUAGCUUCGGUGAGGUCGCAGUGUGGGAAGUGAACCGAGCUUUGGUGUCUAGAGGAAGUAAAAGUCGUAACA
Molecule: ribosomal RNA, 329 nt
Filed under: uncultured eukaryote
Lineage: Eukaryota
Description: partial 18S ribosomal RNA
Rfam family: Eukaryotic small subunit ribosomal RNA
Source: RNAcentral